CCUACGGGAGGCAGCAGUGGGGAAUUUUGGACAAUGGGCGAAAGCCUGAUCCAGCAAUGCCGCGUGUGUGAAGAAGGCCUUCGGGUUGUAAAGCACUUUUGUCCGGAAAGAAAUCCUUGGCUCUAAUACAGUCGGGGGAUGACGGUACCGGAAGAAUAAGCACCGGCUAACUACGUGCCAGCAGCCGCGGUAAUACGUAGGGUGCAAGCGUUAAUCGGAAUUACUGGGCGUAAAGCGUGCGCAGGCGGUUUGCUAAGACCGAUGUGAAAUCCCCGGGCUCAACCUGGGAACUGCAUUGGUGACUGGCAGGCUAGAGUAUGGCAGAGGGGGGUAGAAUUCCACGUGUAGCAGUGAAAUGCGUAGAGAUGUGGAGGAAUACCGAUGGCGAAGGCAGCCCCCUGGGCCAAUACUGACGCUCAUGCACGAAAGCGUGGGGAGCAAACAGGAUUAGAUACCCUGGUAGUCCACGCCCUAAACGAUGUCAACUAGUUGUUGGGGAUUCAUUUCCUUAGUAACGUAGCUAACGCGUGAAGUUGACCGCCUGGGGAGUACGGUCGCAAGAUUAAAACUCAAAUGAAUUGACGG
RNAcentral lists this ribosomal RNA (585 nucleotides) under uncultured bacterium. RNAcentral describes it as "bacterial SSU rRNA". It matches the Rfam family "Bacterial small subunit ribosomal RNA", at positions 338 to 916 of the family's 1533-position model. The record is from RNAcentral.